AACGGGUGAGUAACACGUGGGUAACCUGCCCAUCAGAAGGGGAUAACACUUGGAAACAGGUGCUAAUACCGUAUAACAAUCGAAACCGCAUGGUUUUGAUUUGAAAGGCGCUUUCGGGUGUCGCUGAUGGAUGGACCCGCGGUGCAUUAGCUAGUUGGUGAGGUAACGGCUCACCAAGGCCACGAUGCAUAGCCGACCUGAGAGGGUGAUCGGCCACAUUGGGACUGAGACACGGCCCAAACUCCUACGGGAGGCAGCAGUAGGGAAUCUUCGGCAAUGGACGAAAGUCUGACCGAGCAACGCCGCGUGAGUGAAGAAGGUUUUCGGAUCGUAAAACUCUGUUGUUAGAGAAGAACAAGGAUGAGAGUAACUGUUCAUCCCUUGACGGUAUCUAACCAGAAAGCCACGGCUAACUACGUGCCAGCAGCCGCGGUAAUACGUAGGUGGCAAGCGUUGUCCGGAUUUAUUGGGCGUAAAGCGAGCGCAGGCGGUUUCUUAAGUCUGAUGUGAAAGCCCCCGGCUCAACCGGGGAGGGUCAUUGGAAACUGGGAGACUUGAGUGCAGAAGAGGAGAGUGGAAUUCCAUGUGUAGCGGUGAAAUGCGUAGAUAUAUGGAGGAACACCAGUGGCGAAGGCGGCUCUCUGGUCUGUAACUGACGCUGAGGCUCGAAAGCGUGGGGAGCAAACAGGAUUAGAUACCCUGGUAGUCCACGCCGUAAACGAUGAGUGCUAAGUGUUGGAGGGUUUCCGCCCUUCAGUGCUGCAGCUAACGCAUUAAGCACUCCGCCUGGGGAGUACGACCGCAAGGUUGAAACUCAAAGGAAUUGACGGGGGCCCGCACAAGCGGUGGAGCAUGUGGUUUAAUUCGAAGCAACGCGAAGAACCUUACCAGGUCUUGACAUCCUUUGACCACUCUAGAGAUAGAGCUUCCCCUUCGGGGGCAAAGUGACAGGUGGUGCAUGGUUGUCGUCAGCUCGUGUCGUGAGAUGUUGGGUUAAGUCCCGCAACGAGCGCAACCCUUAUUGUUAGUUGCCAUCAUUCAGUUGGGCACUCUAGCAAGACUGCCGGUGACAAACCGGAGGAAGGUGGGGAUGACGUCAAAUCAUCAUGCCCCUUAUGACCUGGGCUACACACGUGCUACAAUGGGAAGUACAACGAGUUGCGAAGUCGCGAGGCUAAGCUAAUCUCUUAAAGCUUCUCUCAGUUCGGAUUGCAGGCUGCAACUCGCCUGCAUGAAGCCGGAAUCGCUAGUAAUC
RNAcentral lists this ribosomal RNA (1255 nucleotides) under Enterococcus faecium. RNAcentral's name for it is "bacterial SSU rRNA". It matches the Rfam family "Bacterial small subunit ribosomal RNA", at positions 101 to 1343 of the family's 1533-position model. Lineage: Bacteria; Bacillati; Bacillota; Bacilli; Lactobacillales; Enterococcaceae. The record is from RNAcentral.